This 253-nucleotide ribosomal RNA is filed under the name uncultured Sphingomonas sp. RNAcentral describes it as "partial 16S ribosomal RNA". It matches the Rfam family "Bacterial small subunit ribosomal RNA", at positions 524 to 776 of the family's 1533-position model. Lineage: Bacteria; Pseudomonadati; Pseudomonadota; Alphaproteobacteria; Sphingomonadales; Sphingomonadaceae. The record is from RNAcentral.
UACGGAGGGAGCUAGCGUUGUUCGGAAUUACUGGGCGUAAAGCGCGCGUAGGCGGCUAUUCAAGUCAGAGGUGAAAGCCCGGGGCUCAACCCCGGAAUUGCCUUUGAAACUAGAUAGCUAGAAUCUGGGAGAGGUGAGUGGAAUUCCGAGUGUAGAGGUGAAAUUCGUAGAUAUUCGGAAGAACACCAGUGGCGAAGGCGGCUCACUGGACCAGAAUUGACGCUGAGGUGCGAAAGCGUGGGGAGCAAACAGG